GUCCGCUUCGGUAGACUGUUUGGCUCACAGUAAACCAGUAGAAAAGGUUUUUGUUUUUGUAGCUGUUUCGUGGUGAAAUUCCUUUAUGGGGGCCAAAUUUCCCCACAAGAAAUUGAGCGCAUGGUUGCUUUUGCAUUCCAAAAGAACGAAUAUUAGAAAACAUUGAAAAAAAGUCUGAGAUAAUACAAUUAUAUUCUACUAGAAAUAAACUCGAUAGUGUGCGCUAAUUAGAUAAUGUGAUAAUCAUGUUUAAAAACUCUUUACAAGUCUUAUUUUUCAGAAAUUAAUAUUGUGGAUCAGAUUGCUUUGAGCGCUUCUGUUGUUUACCAAGAAAAUGCACCCCUGUUGGUUAUUAUUUCUGUAUCGCAAAGCGGUGAGUUUCUAUUUCUUGGUAAUUCGGUUUGUGAAAUGACUAUUAAUUACAAGCACAGCAUCAUCAACGGUGAUUGCAAGAACUACUGCAAUCCCUGCGGUUUUUCCUCUUGGUAAAUGCGUUCUGGUCGUGACCAAGGGUGGUCUCCCAAUCGGCCGGGAAUAAGGCUAUUGUUGCAGAACAAAACGCCACAACCACCGCUGUUGUAAAUAUGUUCCAGCAGUACUGCCCACCGCCGUCGGAGUAAUGAUUUCGAUAGCUGAACAAACGCCAUCUCCUGGGCAUUCCCACAUACCGACAAUAGCUAUUAUAUCACGUGUGAAUGCAACUGCGGCUAAAUUUGGUUAUUAACAGUGCAAUAGUGCCAUGUCAUUGGCAAAAACACUAAGGGAUGCUGGCACAUAGAGGUUGUAAAGUUUUUGGAAUCGAUGAACUUACUCGAAGAAGACGAUGGUCGAAAACAUAUGAUGAAACAUCUUCUGGCGUGCCUUUGACAAUCGUUAAGGUAGACGGAGGCUUCACAUACGAUAUUUCACACAUGGCUGGAAUUCGUUAGCGGACAGAGCACACAUUUACAAAAUAUUUAUCGUUCUGCAGAACGUGCAUGCAUAUUCGAUUCCGAUUUUAUGGGUCGAUUACGGAGGACAACCGAACUUCAGUUGGUUG
Rhagoletis pomonella (apple maggot) is the source of this 1039-nucleotide long non-coding RNA. RefSeq lists it as uncharacterized. The record is from RefSeq and is a predicted model, not a curated record. Lineage: Eukaryota; Metazoa; Arthropoda; Insecta; Diptera; Tephritidae. The transcript is spliced from 3 exons.